Molecule: transfer RNA, 61 nt
Filed under: Actinomyces graevenitzii
Lineage: Bacteria; Bacillati; Actinomycetota; Actinomycetes; Actinomycetales; Actinomycetaceae
Rfam family: tRNA
About the family: Transfer RNA (tRNA) molecules are approximately 80 nucleotides in length. Their secondary structure includes four short double-helical elements and three loops (D, anti-codon, and T loops).
Source: RNAcentral
CAGUAGCUCAGUGGAUAGAGCGUCUGCCUCCGGAGCAGAAGGUCGCAGGUUCGAAUCCUGU